Non-coding RNA from Beta vulgaris subsp. vulgaris (sugar beet), 74 nucleotides. The record is from Rfam. NCBI's taxonomy places the organism in Eukaryota, Viridiplantae, Streptophyta, Magnoliopsida, Caryophyllales, Amaranthaceae.
AGCUUGUUAGCUCAAUUGGUGAGUGUUUUGUGUGCAAAUACACAAAAAUGUGGGUUCAACUCCCACACAAGCUC